UUAAACGGCCGCGGUAUCCUAACCGUGCAAAGGUAGCGUAAUCACUUGUCCCCUAAAUAGGGACUAGUAUGAAUGGUUAAAUGAGGAUAGACCUGUCUCUCAUGGAAAAUCAGUGAAACUGAACUCCCAGUACAAAUGCUGGAAUAUACACACAAGACGAGAAGACCCUGCGGAGCUUUUAAACAACCCUCAAACAAUAAAUUGAGCACGAGUUUUCAGUUGGGGCGACUUCGGAACAAAACCAAGCUUCCGAGCAUAAGAGACCAUCUCUCGCAGCGGCUAACAAGCCAAAGCACUAAAAUAAUGACCCGGGUAAAAACCCGAUUAACGAACCAAGUUACCCCAGGGAUAACAGCGCUAUCUUCUUUUAGAGUCCAUAUCAACAAGUAAGGCUUACGACCUCGAUGUUGGAUCAGGACAC
This 421-nucleotide ribosomal RNA is filed under the name Cordylus cordylus (Cape girdled lizard). RNAcentral's name for it is "partial large subunit ribosomal RNA". It matches the Rfam family "Bacterial large subunit ribosomal RNA", at positions 1923 to 2545 of the family's 2925-position model. The record is from RNAcentral. Lineage: Eukaryota; Metazoa; Chordata; Lepidosauria; Squamata; Cordylidae.